RNAcentral lists this ribosomal RNA (1058 nucleotides) under Hypocreales sp. E2216a. RNAcentral's name for it is "SSU rRNA". It matches the Rfam family "Eukaryotic small subunit ribosomal RNA", at positions 48 to 1117 of the family's 1831-position model. The record is from RNAcentral. Lineage: Eukaryota; Fungi; Ascomycota; Sordariomycetes; Hypocreales.
GCCAUGCAUGUCUAAGUAUAAGCAAUUCUACGGCGAAACUGCGAAUGGCUCAUUAUAUAAGUUAUCGUUUAUUUGAUAGCAUCUUACUACUUGGAUAACCGUGGUAAUUCUAGAGCUAAUACAUGCUAAAAAUCCCGACUUCGGAAGGGAUGUAUUUAUUAGAUUAAAAACCAAUGCCCUUCGGGGCUCACUGGUGAUUCAUGAUAACUUCUCGAAUCGCAUGGCCUUGCGCCGGCGAUGGUUCAUUCAAAUUUCUUCCCUAUCAACUUUCGAUGUUUGGGUCUUGGCCAAACAUGGUCUCAACGGGUAACGGAGGGUUAGGGCUCGACCCCGGAGAAGGAGCCUGAGAAACGGCUACUACAUCCAAGGAAGGCAGCAGGCGCGCAAAUUAUCCAAUACCGACUCGGUGAGAUAGUGAAGAGAAAUACUGAUGCAGGGCUCUUUUGGGUCUUGCAAUUGGAAUGAGUACAAUUUAAAUCCCUUAACGAGGAACAAUUGGAGGGCAAGUCUGGUGCCAGCAGCCGCGGUAAUUCCAGCUCCAAUAGCGUAUAUUAAAGUUGUUGUGGUUAAAAAGCUCGUAGUUGAACCUUGGGCCUGGCUGGCCGGUCCGCCUCACCGCGUGUACUGGUCCGGCCGGGCCUUUCCCUCUAUGGAACCCCAUGCCCUUCACUGGGUGUGGCGGGGAAAUAGGACUUUUACUUUGAAAAAAUUAGAGUGCUCCAGGCAGGCCUAUGCUCGAAUACAUUAGCAUGGAAUAAUAGAAUAGGACGUGUGGUUCUAUUUUGUUGGUUUCUAGGACCGCCGUAAUGAUUAAUAGGGACAGUCGGGGGCAUCAGUAUUCAAUUGUCAGAGGUGAAAUUCUUGGAUUUAUUGAAGACUAACUACUGCGAAAGCAUUUGCCAAGGAUGUUUUCAUUAAUCAGGAACGAAAGUUAGGGGAUCGAAGACGAUCAGAUACCGUCGUAGUCUUAACCAUAAACUAUGCCGACUAGGGAUCGGACGAUGUUAUUUUUUGACUCGUUCGGCACCUUACGAGAAAUCAAAGUGCUUGGGCUCCAG